UACGAAGGGUGCAAGCGUUACUCGGAAUUACUGGGCGUAAAGCGUGCGUAGGUGGUGAGUUAAGUCUGAUGUGAAAUCCCCGGGCUCAACCUGGGAAUGGCAUUGGAUACUGGCUCGCUAGAGUGCGGUAGAGGGUGGUGGAAUUCCCGGUGUAGCAGUGAAAUGCGUAGAGAUCGGGAGGAACAUCUGUGGCUAAGGCGGCCACCUGGACCUACACUGACACUGAGGCACGAAAGCGUGGGGAGCAAACAGG
Molecule: ribosomal RNA, 253 nt
Filed under: uncultured bacterium
Lineage: Bacteria
Description: partial 16S ribosomal RNA
Rfam family: Bacterial small subunit ribosomal RNA
Source: RNAcentral